Molecule: transfer RNA, 89 nt
Filed under: Violaceomyces palustris
Lineage: Eukaryota; Fungi; Basidiomycota; Ustilaginomycetes; Violaceomycetales; Violaceomycetaceae
Description: tRNA-Ala
Rfam family: tRNA
About the family: Transfer RNA (tRNA) molecules are approximately 80 nucleotides in length.
Source: RNAcentral
GGGGAUUUAGCUCAGUUGGUAGAGCGUUCGCUUAGCAUCUCCAAGAAGCUCACUGCGAAAGGUCGCGUGUUCGACUCAUGCAGUCUCCA